AAGUCGUAACAAGGUCUCCGUUGGUGAACCAGCGGAGGGAUCAUUAAAGAGUUGCAAAACUCCCUAACCCUAUGUGAAUCAUACCUUCUGUACGUUGCUUCGGCAGGCGACCCCAGGGCGGGGUUUCCGGCCUGGGUCUCCCAGGUGCCUGCCGGAGGAAUAACAAAACUCUGUUUAUUUUUAGUUUGUCUGAGUAAAAAACAAAUAAGUUAAAACUUUCAACAACGGAUCUCUUGGUUCUG
This 242-nucleotide unclassified non-coding RNA is filed under the name Barbatosphaeria neglecta. RNAcentral's name for it is "partial internal transcribed spacer region". The stretch from base 1 to 46 matches the Rfam family "Eukaryotic small subunit ribosomal RNA", at positions 1786 to 1831 of the family's 1831-position model. The record is from RNAcentral. Lineage: Eukaryota; Fungi; Ascomycota; Sordariomycetes; Barbatosphaeriales; Barbatosphaeriaceae.